Molecule: unclassified non-coding RNA, 430 nt
Filed under: Hevea brasiliensis (rubber tree)
Lineage: Eukaryota; Viridiplantae; Streptophyta; Magnoliopsida; Malpighiales; Euphorbiaceae
Source: RNAcentral
CCCCUGGAUGGUGUGGAGAGAUACGCGAUGUUAUAUUCUCUGAAAAUGGUAGAGUCACUGUGGUAUACCGUGUUACCAUACGAGGAUCAGAUGGAGAGGCAUACCGCGAGUCAACUGGGACAGUUUCAUCCAGUGAUGCACCCCUGGUAGAUCCUGUUGCUGCAGCAGAGGAAUUAGCGUUUUGCAGUGCAUGUGCCCGGUUUGGUCUUGGCUUGUAUCUAUAUCAUGAUGAAUAAAUGCUAUAGACUGCAAGGAGGGGACAUUCAGCAUUUCUAGUUAUUGCUCUUUUGAGAUAUUAGAAGAUUGUAUUUAAUGUCCACCCUUCAAACUAGUGUAAAUAUCCAGCAUAAUCCAGUUUGGGUUUGUUUCACUUGCGAAGAAAGAGUUUCUUUUUGGUCGAAAAAAAGAAACUCUUUCUUCGCAAGUGAAA